RNAcentral lists this unclassified non-coding RNA (1203 nucleotides) under Leptinotarsa decemlineata (Colorado potato beetle). RNAcentral describes it as "uncharacterized LOC111508519, transcript variant X2". Lineage: Eukaryota; Metazoa; Arthropoda; Insecta; Coleoptera; Chrysomelidae. The record is from RNAcentral.
AAAAGAAAUGACGUUUGUUAGUAUCGCUAAAACUCGAGAGAACAGCUAAACCGAUUUGGCUAACUUUAAUUAGAAGUCUUGUAGAAGUCCAAGGAACUUUUAAACGAUUUCCAGUUCAGUGAAGUGCACCAAACAGAGAAUAUAUUAUGCCGAGUUUGUCGAGAGACGAAACAUCAGCAGCGCAGAAAUACGUUGACAGAUUGCUUGCAGAAGGAAGCGAAGUGAGCUGCGAUGAAACAAACGCGAACUUCUUCGGAAACAACGAACUGCCGCCUUUUUACGACGAGGAACUUUUCAAAAGGGGUCAGAGAGUCUUCGAUAAACACAUAUUCGCGAUGAUGUUCGCCAAAAUUCAAGGCCUGCUGGCGGUUCUCUUAAUUCCCACCAUUCGGAGAAUGUUGGUUUUCACGAAAAUGUCCGGAAGUGACCUAAUGGCCUACAAGAGGUAUUUGGCCACCACUUUUCAUAUGGUGGUAUGGUAUCAGAAUGACUUCAAACCAGGAUCCAACAUUUCUCCCAAUUUUUUUUCAGAUUGUGGAAUUCCAUAUCAGAAGUGAGGAACAUGCACAAUUCAGCAAGCAAAAGAGGUUGCGAGGCUAAUAUUAGUAGGAUAUCCCAAAAAGACAUGGCUCUGACUCAGUUCGGCUUCAUGGGCUUCGCCCUAGCGAGAGCUGAAAAAGUUGGAAUUUAUGGAGUCACAGAAGAAGAAUGGGCCGGCUUCCUGCAUGUUUGGAGGGUUGUCGGAUAUUUGAUGGGAAUGGAAGACAGGUUCAACCUAUGUACCGGUUCUGUGAAGGAAACCAAGGAAAUCUGCAAUAUCCUCAUGGAUCAAGUAUUUCGUCCAGAAAUCAAGAAUAAAGACCAGGAUUUCUUGUCUAUGUCGCGCUAUCUAUUGAGAGGGAUGUGGGCUUUAAAUCCCGCCAUAGGAGUAGACUGUUUUUUGAUUUACCUCUACGCACUGAUUCAGAACGAUAAUGUGAAUUUCUUUCCUGUUUUGGAAUAUCAAAAAUUGGGUUCCGCCCAAAAAUUUCAUUUACACUUUUUACAGCUCAGCAUGUUUCUGUUACAAUUCGAUGGUUUUAGAAUUUUUGAGAAGUAUGUGAUGUAUCUGUCUCUGUGGCUGAUGAAAGUAUUUCCUUUCUUGGCUUUUUAUAUGUUUGGUAGAUCUAAUUCGUACGUGAAAAUAAAAUGUUGAAAAUGUAA